GUCGAGCGAGAAGACGUAGCAAUACGUUUGUAAAGCGGCGAACGGGUGAGGAAUACAUGGGUAACCUACCCUCGAGUGGGGAAUAACUAGCCGAAAGGUUAGCUAAUACCGCGUACGCUCCUUGGACUUCGGUUCAGGGAGGAAAGCGAUACCGUGGGUAUCGCGCUCUUGGAUGGGCUCAUGUCCUAUCAGCUUGUUGGUGAGGUAACGGCUCACCAAGGCUUCGACGGGUAGCUGGUCUGAGAGGACGAUCAGCCACACUGGCACUGCGACACGGGCCAGACUCCUACGGGAGGCAGCAGUAAGGAAUAUUGCGCAAUGGGCGAAAGCCUGACGCAGCGACGCCGCGUGGGGGAUGAAGGUCUUCGGAUUGUAAACCCCUUUCGGGAGGGAAGAUGGAAUGGGGUAACCCAUUCGGACGGUACCUCCAGAAGCAGCCACGGCUAACUUCGUGCCAGCAGCCGCGGUAAUACGAAGGUGGCAAGCGUUAUUCGGAUUUACUGGGCGUACAGGGAGCGUAGGCGGUUCGGUAAGCCCUUUGUGAAAUCUCCAGGCUUAACCUGGAAAAGUCGGAGGGGACUGCCGGGCUAGAGGACGGGAGAGGAGCGCGGAAUUCCCGGUGUAGCGGUGAAAUGCGUAGAGAUCGGGAGGAAGGCCGGUGGCGAAGGCGGCGCUCUGGAACGUUUCUGACGCUGAGGCUCGAAAGCGUGGGGAGCAAACAGGAUUAGAUACCCUGGUAGUCCACGCCUUAAACUAUGAAUACUAAGUGUCGGCGGGUUACCGCCGGUGCCGCAGCUAACGCAUUAAGUAUUCCGCCUGGGAAGUACGGCCGCAAGGUCGAAACUCAAAGGAAUUGACGGGGGCCCGCACAAGCGGUGGAGCAUGUGGUUUAUUCGACGCAACGCGAGACCUUUACCCAGGCUGGACAUGCAGUAGUAGAAGGUGAAGCCCACGAGGUAGCAAUACAUCCUGCUCAGUGCUGCAUGCUGUCGUCAGCUCGUGCUGGAAGGUGUUGGGUAAGUCCGGCAC
RNAcentral lists this ribosomal RNA (1029 nucleotides) under uncultured Nitrospira sp. RNAcentral's name for it is "bacterial SSU rRNA". It matches the Rfam family "Bacterial small subunit ribosomal RNA", at positions 61 to 1093 of the family's 1533-position model. The record is from RNAcentral. Lineage: Bacteria; Pseudomonadati; Nitrospirota; Nitrospiria; Nitrospirales; Nitrospiraceae.